This 118-nucleotide ribosomal RNA is filed under the name Heterocephalus glaber (naked mole-rat). Lineage: Eukaryota; Metazoa; Chordata; Mammalia; Rodentia; Bathyergidae. The record is from RNAcentral.
GUCUACGGCCAUACCACCCUGAGUGCGCCUGAUCUCGUCUAAUCUCGGAAGCUAAGCAGGGUCGGGCCUGGUUAGUGCUUGGAUGGGAAACUUUCUAAUAAAGUAAUUAUAAUUGGGA